GCGGAUGUAGUUUAACGGUAGAAUGACUGGCUUCCAACCAGUCGGUGAGGGUUCGAUUCCCUUCAUCCGCU
RNAcentral lists this transfer RNA (71 nucleotides) under Bacillus sp. M6-12. Its description in RNAcentral is "tRNA-Gly". It matches the Rfam family "tRNA". Rfam says of the family: Transfer RNA (tRNA) molecules are approximately 80 nucleotides in length. Their secondary structure includes four short double-helical elements and three loops (D, anti-codon, and T loops). Lineage: Bacteria; Bacillati; Bacillota; Bacilli; Caryophanales; Bacillaceae. The record is from RNAcentral.